Molecule: long non-coding RNA, 2067 nt
Organism: Felis catus (domestic cat)
Lineage: Eukaryota; Metazoa; Chordata; Mammalia; Carnivora; Felidae
Exons: 2
Source: RefSeq, a predicted model, not a curated record
CUGUGAUCAGACAGAUGCUCUGUGCUCGGAGCCUUAUCCUUCCCAAGACACGCGUCCAAAAGAGCGGAAAAGCGUGGGGACCGAUGGGAUUUCUGCCGACUGAGAAGGACCUUCCAAAGAGACAGGGGUCCACGGAAGGAAAACCUCUUCUGUGUAUUUCAGCACCAUGGUGGAUCCAUUCUUCUCCCAGACAACGCGGGAGCAGCAGAGCAUCAGAGGAAAACAACUGACAGGUGGUGUAAAGGCCAAAGCGAGACCCAGGAUUAUUCACUCUGUGCUCAGUGGCCCCGAGCCCAAUCCACAGGCUGCAUGGUAGGAAGUGAACGGCCAUCAAAGAACACGAUCACUACGCCCAAACGGGCCUGGAAACAAAGGGGCUUGUCUUCGGUCCCUGCUUCUCAUUGAGCACCCCUGAAAACGCAUCUUUAACUUUUUGUGUGACUGUGCUCCAAGUGGCCUAUGUCAUAAAACAGCCUGUGGGGAACACAGCCCGUGACCAGAUUCGAGCUCAGGAGGCUCCCGCCCUGCGUGGGUCUGCGGUUACUUUUCAUUAAGGCAUAUGGCGAAGCCGCCCAGGGCCCACGGACCUGACAGCUUCCUGACUGCAAAACAAAUGAGUACCAUAGGCUUCAGACAGUAGUUCUGAGCCGGAGUAGGAACCUGCAGAAAUAUGUUUCUAUGCAAAGGAACACUGGGAUGGAAAGGGUCGCGAUUUCUGGGACUAACGCAUUUAUUUCGUCGGCACUUCUGCGGACACCAGUCUUUCCACUUGUUCCAGACAAUACACAACAAAGGGCCUCCUUUUUCAUGUGGGCAAAUUGAGGCAAGGCUGCAACGCCGACCGCGUUUCUUCCAAUGCCUCUGCCUUUCCUUCCUGGGUCUUGGAGGUGAGCUGGGCAGCCAUCUGCCACCCCGCACGGGGGUCUGCUCGCCCCCCUUCCUGCUGCGAUCCCUGCCUCUCCCUGGUGGGCGCAGAGCCAGCGUCCCUGCCCCCCGGCGAGGCCCGCGUAUCUGCAGAGCAUGGGGCAGACACAAGGCCAGGCAUCGUUAGAGCCAGAGUCACAGAGGCAGCCAUCUCCAGAGCCCAAGGGGGUCCCCACUGCAGUGGGCUUUCUCGCACUUGGGUUGUGCAUGUGAAAACACUGAAAUAAAAACUUGAGGAGUUUGGGGUGCCUGGGUGGUUCCCUCGAUUGAGCGGCCAACUCUUGAUUUCAGCUCAGGUUGUGAUCGCGGUUCAUGAGUUCGAGCCCCUUGACCAACUCUGACGGUGUGGAGGAGCCUGCCUGGGAUUCUCUCUCUUCCUCCCUCUCCUUACCCCUACUCCCCAAAAUAAACAUUUAAAAAAGACUUAAAGCAGUAUGUUCUCAAACCCAUUUUUCCUGCAACGUAAAAUUCUAAAUUUCGUUUUUCCUGCUUUAAAAUAUUAAUAGAGAAAUGUUUUCCUACUCUAAGUAAAAAUAAAAAUGAUAAAUUCAGCUUACACUCAGUAUCAAUUUUGAGGAAUUAAUAAAGGAACCCUCGGGAAUACUUUGAACUCCCUUCUAAAGGGGCGUGUGAAUUCCACAUUUAUUCACACCCAGCAUCUCCUCACCAUGAGAAAGUAUGGACGGAGGGUUGUUUGAAAACCUAGUAUUACUAGAGAAGCCAGAAAUACAGAUUUUGAAAUAGGAAACACCUAUCUUCAAACACUUUUGUUAAAAACUCCAUUUUAAAGGCUCCUUCACUCUGAGAGCCACAUAUCUUUGUGUGUGUGUGUGUGUGUGUGUGUGUGAGAGAGAGAGAGAGAGAGAGAGAGAGAGAGAGACCACAUUUAGCCCACAGCCUAAGAAUUUUCAGCUUCUCACAGUGAAAAUGAAUUUGGUAUAAUACAAAUUAAAUCAUGAAUCUUUGACGAUUAUGAGCAACUGUACCCACGUGACAACUAAUUUACUGAGUACACAGCUGACUAGCACAUACAUCAACACACUACACAAUUCAGCCUCCCAGCUCCAUCGAGUGAGCUGAGAUAAAACGACUCGUUGGGAUGACUAUUGGGCACAGGAAGGUUUUGUGUACUAGGAAUUAACA